AGUGAACGCUGGCGGUAGGCCUAACACAUGCAAGUCGAACGGCAGCACAGUAAGAGCUUGCUCUUACGGGUGGCGAGUGGCGGACGGGUGAGGAAUACAUCGGAAUCUACUUUUUCGUGGGGGAUAACGUAGGGAAACUUACGCUAAUACCGCAUACGACCUACGGGUGAAAGCAGGGGAUCUUCGGACCUUGCGCGAUUGAAUGAGCCGAUGUCGGAUUAGCUAGUUGGCGGGGUAAAGGCCCACCAAGGCGACGAUCCGUAGCUGGUCUGAGAGGAUGGUCAGCCACACGGGAACUGAGACACGGUCCAGACUCCUACGGGAGGCAGCAGUGGGGAAUAUUGGACAAUGGGCGCAGGCCUGAUCCAGCCAUACCGCGUGGGUGAAGAAGGCCUUCGGGUUGUAAAGCCCUUUUGUUGGGAAAGAAAAGCAGCAGGUUAAUACCCCGCUGUUCUGACGGUACCCAAAGAAUAAGCACCGGCUAACUUCGUG
Molecule: ribosomal RNA, 492 nt
Filed under: uncultured bacterium
Lineage: Bacteria
Description: partial 16S ribosomal RNA
Rfam family: Bacterial small subunit ribosomal RNA
Source: RNAcentral